Long non-coding RNA from Gasterosteus aculeatus aculeatus (three-spined stickleback), 2080 nucleotides. Lineage: Eukaryota; Metazoa; Chordata; Actinopteri; Perciformes; Gasterosteidae. The record is from Ensembl.
CCUUACCGCAGUUUCCCCGGGAAAAGCCAUCACGCGAAGUAGGAGACGCGUUGAGGACCGGAACAAAGGAGGCAAACCCCUGUGUUCCCCAGGCACCACGGGACUGACCGCUGCCCCCACCCAGACGAACCGGAUAAUCCCAUAAGAGCUCGCUGGAUGACUGAGCCAAUGAACACAAGUCCCAAGGCGAAGCAACCAUCCCCGGGGCAAGAAGCUCCGUCGUUGUCUGACCACAGCCUCUCUAAUGUGGCCCACUAGCACAACCUCAUGCAUUCCAGAGCGCACAAACAUGUUGACCAAACGGGACUCAUCAAUCCAGAUUUCUCUCGGACUCAGUUCUUAAACAUCUACUUUGUUUUUCACUUGUUCCCUUUCAUCAAACCACCUGUCUGUAAGAACAAUAUGGUUCUCAUUAAGCUGACGUUACUCUCGAUACACCGUAUCCCUGAGCAAUGCUUCACUAUUUUCCCGUAAACCUUGUAGUGAUAUGCCAUCAUCAUCAUCAUAAUCAUCAUGUAAGGCCUAAACAAAAAUAGGAAAUUUCUUUUAAUAUUUUUUCCACUUAAUUAUGUACAAUUGUAUGAACGUUUUGUGAAUCAACUUGAACAUGUCGUUUCUUGACAAUAAACCGAUUUAGUUUCGGUUCCAAACAAUGUAGAGAAAUGCUCUGAAACACAAGGCGUCUCAGGCAUUGUCAAAACAAUUAUAUUCCCUGUGCCGAUGAUAAUUUGCACUACAACUAAUAGAAAUAUGUCAGCAAUGAUGGUGAUUAAGGUUGCCGGAUAGGGUCAGCCUUCUUCUCUUAGUGAGCGUCAAGAUGCUGUGAUGACUCUCACAUUAGGGUGUCUGAGUUCCAGCAUUUCUAUUCUUCUUUCAAUUUGAUAGCUAAUCAAUGAGGGGCCUGAAGGAGGACCAGCUGAGCUCAGACGAAAGGAUCCUAAUUGAAUCUGACAAUAAUUUUCACAUAUUUCUCUUGCUCUGUCUCAUAUGCCAUUAGCGACAUCACUGUGAUAAUAGUUGCCAUGACAGCAUGAGCAAUGCUCAUUAAUGACCUGGCUGGUGGUAAUGUACGGGGCCAUAUUUCCCUUUUCCCCUUCUCUUUUGCUUUCUUUCCUUUUUAAACCUUCUGCCCUUCUCCAUUUGAUUAAAAAAAAAAUGUUUUCAUCACACAAACAAAACACUUUAAUCAUGAAGCAUAAGGAUUGAAUUGCAUAUUAUAAUCCUUCACAAAAAAUCAAAAACAUUAAAUGUUUGACUAUAAUCAGGAGUGGACAAAUGAAAGGUUUCAGUGUGAAAUCUUUAUGUUUGAUCAAAUUACUUUGUUGAAUGUUUCUGAUUCAUCAAGCACAGAAAAAAGUGGCUCAGUGGACAACAGCCUCCACCAGGAAUGUAUUCCUAUGCUCAAAGCAUAACAGAGUGUACACAAGACAAACAUCUGUUGAGGACAGGGCUGUGUUUUCAGUGUGGUCUGGAGCUUUUUAAAAAGUGCUGUGGACAGCUUUCCAAAAGGCUUGGAAGGACAAACACCUCCUCUUUUUUACUAAGGGCAAACGUCUCUGAAGGGGACCGAGUCUGUCUGCACUGUAAACACAAGGGUGUCAAGAACCAAUGUCACAUUCGGCUGGUGGGGGACUUCCAACACUGAGGGACACGCAGGCAGCCACAGAUGGAAGAAGCAAACAGCUUCACACAUAUGCACUAACAUGCACAUUUGCACGUACAGUACAUGCACACAUGGCCAAUUUGCCUGCACAAAUUUAGACACACGUGCAAACUGUCACUGUGCAAUUCAUAUAACAAAAAGGGUACUAAAUAAGAGAACUAAACUACAAGAAAUUAAACAAUCUCAAUCUCAAGUAAUCUUAUACUGAGCAGUUGCAUUCUUAGUAUGACUAACAGUGUGCUGCCGGUAAAAAAUAAAUGCUGAAUUAGGGAACUGAGAGUGUCUGCGUCAGUUUGUACUUCUUGACAAGCCAGCAGCAGUCCGAAACCUUUGGAAACAGCAAAUAUAGAGAAUCACAAUGUAGAAUCUACAUUGUGUGUUUUAUCAAAGUGCAUUCUGAGGUGUACAUGCCAAUUA